GGGGAACAGAAAUGAGCAAACAGAAAAGGGGCAAAAGAGCUGCUUUCAUCACUAGCACAUCCGAUAUCGCAUUCACACCAGUACCUCCAAAGGCUGCGUGGUCCCUUCAUUUCCCUUACUCUGAAAGAAUGACAAGGAAAGUAUAACCAUUCAUUCACUGUCCUUUGCUCUCUGCAGUUUGACCCUGAACUUUUGUCUUUGGUCUGCAUGCUGCUUCAUUUUUUAGCACGUUAACUAAGCAUGAUCUCAGUUAAUAAGUAACUCUCAGGUGACUAAUUGCAGAGUCCUUAAAGAGGAGCCUAGAAAGGAUCCUAAAACAUUGUUGACCUAAUCAAAUUCAUCCUCUUUUUCAUUCAUAAAAUUUUACUACUGUUCCCACUUUGGUAUCAGGGAAAAAGUUGCUAAAUGCACUACUGUUCUUCACCCAUUAGAUAGUUAUGGACAAGAGAGAAAGCAGAGGAAUAAUCUAACAAAGGAAAAUAUUAGGGGUAAUGUUUUAAAGAACAAAUGUAUUGAGGUUUUCCAGGUUAUGUAAAGUUUCUAAAGAAACUUGGAAGGACUCUAAUCCUCAAAUGUCAAAUACCUCCACUACCACAUAUAUGCUAAUUUUGUGUAAGAAAUUCUCUGUGAUAAUUCUGCAAUUUUCUGUGAAAGAAAUGAUAAUGAUAGUUAUUUCCUGUUCUCCUUUAACCUGAACAGUCUUUGCCCAGAAAAGUAGCAACUAGACAACAUCUUGAAUGUAAUCUUGCCCACAGCAAAGUCACAUAUUCUUUUCUUGCUGCAGAUACAGAUGAAAUCCAAACUACUAUAGUUACUUUUUAAAAACCUCUUAUGUUAGGCAGAUGUUUAUGUCAUAUAGUUAAGAACAUAAUACAGUCGUGUUUGUGAUGAGGAAAUGAAGCACAGAAGCAUUAAGAAAUUUUCCCAAAGUCUUACAGCCGAAACAUGGAAUGGAGAUUAAACUCAGGCAGUCUGGGUCCAGAAUUUACAUGUUCUAACCUCAUCACCUUUAUAUUAUAAUCUUAAAUGUAACAAAUUAUUUCUCUAGAGUUCACAAUGGAAUGGUGGGUGAGAGUAGAAAAUUAAACUUAGGAAAAGAAUAGUUGUCCUUCAUCAAUAAUUAGGAUGAUUAGAAUUUACUUUUGUUUCAUAUGCAUUAACUUAUUAUAUUUUUAUUCAUGAACUUGCCCCACUCAGUUUUAGAUGACAAAUAUAAAAUUAUUUGUUCCUCAAAGAACUCACAACCAGUAGGCUGCUUAUAUUGUCAUCAGGGCUUUGGCUAAAUGCCUGGUGAGUUAAUACGUAAUUAUUGAUAAGCACGUUUGUUUUUGCUUAAUUAUACAGAAUGCCUAAUGUAGGUGCCCCCAAAUCACUGCAGCAUCCAAAUUCCUAUCUCACAAUGUAAAUACAGUCCAGGAAGUGUGCCUUAGAAAAUGUAGCCAAUUCUUUGAAAAACCACGGAUUUGUUUAUUAUUUGAGAAAAAUGUUCAUCAUUGAGUUUCUUUUUCUCCCAAUAAUAUUAAAUCGUCUUUCUCCACCUCCUUCUUCCCUCUUCUCCCUAUCUCAAUCAUACUCUCAUAUUUCACCACAUUUUAGUUCAUAUCAUUUAUAUUAUGUACCGUGUACCUGCAACUGUACUGAGCAACAUUUUCAUUUCUAAGUGUUUUAAACAUUCUUUUUUCCUACAUAAUCCAAUUUUUAAAAAUUUAAAUUCAGCAUAGAUUAUGGCUUCCAUCUUUCUUGUAAGCAUACUCUUGUUUGAUGAUUUUCCAUCUUUUUAACUUCUCCAGUCGUUCUGUAUCCAGAUCGCAGUCUCCUCUGUCAAUGAUAUCUUUCAUUCCCACAAGGGUUUGAGUAGAGUGGGGGCUGGAAUGAGGCUGAAAGAAGUCAGCUUAUCCACUCUCAGCGGGGAUAUGGGGGUUGUUCAAAGAUUGUUCUUCCAUGGAAGCAUCUGAUUAUGCUUCUGUCCCUUGCCUCCAUCCCUAACUGUGCUGCAAUAACUGACCUAUGACAGCUAAUGAAUCUGGCAUAAGAGAGAAGUUCCAAAGUCAGUGAAACAGAAAUGUGUGAAUUGACCAUUUCAUUGGAUCCUUCCCAGUCACAUUCUGCAUUAUGCUUAUGAUCUAUUGUGUCAGGACUGGUAAUCCUUCCAGUGAUAACUACUGGUCCCCUUUGGUAUCAACUGUAGAGUUACAAAUAACUUCCAACACAACAUUGUAAAGCAACUAUAUU
RNAcentral lists this long non-coding RNA (2232 nucleotides) under Sus scrofa (pig). Its description in RNAcentral is "lncRNA (ENSSSCG00040055642.1)". The record is from RNAcentral. Lineage: Eukaryota; Metazoa; Chordata; Mammalia; Artiodactyla; Suidae.